AUCAAGCUCAAGCCAUCUGACGUGGGGCUGCUUGCUGUGACUGCCAACAAUAUCAUCACCAUAAACAAGGACCAAAACGUGUUUGACUCAAAGAAAAAGGUGAAGCUGACGAAUGCUGAAGGUGUUGAGUACAAGCUGGCAAAGAAACAGCUGCAGGCCAUUGACUUCAACAAAGCCUUGCUGGCCAUGUACACUAACCAGGCUGACCAGUGCAGGAAGCUGUCAUCCAGUCUUCAGGCUCAAAAUCCAGGACAUCCACGGCCAGUCCUUAUCCAGGUGGCUCAGCUGUGCAGAGAGAAGCAGCACAGCAGGGCCAUAGAGCUGCUCCAGCAAUUCUCCGAUCAGAAUCCAGAGAGUGCGUCUGGCAUCAAACUGACAAUGGCACAACUCUAUUUAGUACAAGGU
Molecule: non-coding RNA, 405 nt
Organism: Neolamprologus brichardi
Lineage: Eukaryota; Metazoa; Chordata; Actinopteri; Cichliformes; Cichlidae
Source: RefSeq, a predicted model, not a curated record